RNAcentral lists this ribosomal RNA (163 nucleotides) under Gesnouinia filamentosa. RNAcentral's name for it is "5.8S ribosomal RNA". It matches the Rfam family "5.8S ribosomal RNA". From Rfam's summary of the family: 5.8S ribosomal RNA (5.8S rRNA) is a component of the large subunit of the eukaryotic ribosome. The record is from RNAcentral. Lineage: Eukaryota; Viridiplantae; Streptophyta; Magnoliopsida; Rosales; Urticaceae.
UAAUGACUCUCGACAACGGAUAUCUCGGCUCUCGCAUCGAUGAAGAACGUAGCGAAAUGCGAUACUUGGUGUGAAUUGCAGAAUCCCGUGAAUCAUCGAGUCUUUGAACGCAAGUUGCGCCCAAAGUCGUUAGGCUGAGGGCACGCCUGCCUGGGCGUCAGGA